Molecule: microRNA, 23 nt
Filed under: Mus musculus (house mouse)
Lineage: Eukaryota; Metazoa; Chordata; Mammalia; Rodentia; Muridae
Description: mmu-miR-21b
Gene: mmu-miR-21b
Source: miRBase by way of RNAcentral
UAGUUUAUCAGACUGAUAUUUCC